This 73-nucleotide transfer RNA is filed under the name Trichonephila inaurata madagascariensis. It matches the Rfam family "tRNA". Rfam says of the family: Transfer RNA (tRNA) molecules are approximately 80 nucleotides in length. Their secondary structure includes four short double-helical elements and three loops (D, anti-codon, and T loops). The record is from Rfam by way of RNAcentral. Lineage: Eukaryota; Metazoa; Arthropoda; Arachnida; Araneae; Nephilidae.
GUCCCUGUAGUGCAAUGGGUAGCGUUUUGGACUUCUAAUCCAAAGGUCGUGGGUUCGAAUCCCACCUGGGAUG